Molecule: non-coding RNA, 72 nt
Organism: Ictidomys tridecemlineatus (thirteen-lined ground squirrel)
Lineage: Eukaryota; Metazoa; Chordata; Mammalia; Rodentia; Sciuridae
Source: Rfam
GGUGAUGUAACUCAGUGUUAGAGUGCUUGCCCAUCAUAUGCAAGGCCCUGGGUUCAAUCCUUAGUACCACCA